CAAUAGCGUAUAUUAAAGUUGUUGCAGUUAAAAAGCUCGUAGUUGAAUUUUUGCUUGCCGCCGAUGUCGGAACUUCCGUACGUUCGGCGGCGUGCAUCCUUGGGUGGAACCUGUGUGGCAUUAGGUUGUCGUGCAGGGGAUGCUCAUCGUUUACUGUGAAAAAAUUAGAGUGUUCAAAGCAGGCUUACGCCGUUGAAUAUAUUAGCAUGGAAUAAUAAGAUAGGACCUUGGUACUAUUUUGUUGGUUUGCGCACCGAGGUAAUGAUUAACAGGGACAGUUGGGGGUAUUCGUAUUCCAUUGUCAGAGGUGAAACUCUUGGAUUUCUGGAAGACGAACUACUGCGAAAGCAUUUACCAAGGAUGUUUNCAUUAA
This 373-nucleotide ribosomal RNA is filed under the name uncultured eukaryote. RNAcentral's name for it is "partial 18S ribosomal RNA". It matches the Rfam family "Eukaryotic small subunit ribosomal RNA", at positions 592 to 976 of the family's 1831-position model. The record is from RNAcentral.